UCCAACGUUUCUGUCUCUCUUUUUUGUAGGGAACAGAAUGAGAUCAACAGGAAGCAUAUCUCAGAUCUUGUCACUUUAAUCCGCCGGUUGGAUGAGGGCCCAGUUAAGGCGUCAGGAAAAGUUGGUCAUUGGUCAGAGAGAAGUCCUACGGCACAUAGAGGAGGAAACCCACUGCUGAAGGCCCGGUUGGAGCAGGACUUGUGACGGAGCUCCAGCGUCUUCCUGAGGAGAUCUGCCAAUAUCUGGAACGGUACUGGAGUCCAAAGGUCUCUGCAGCGAACGCCCUCUUUUCCUUAUCCAAUCAUAGCAGCCAGCUCCAGCUCAGGCACGCCCUCCAACUGCUCCACGCCCACUUUACCCUUAACGCCCAAUAGCAGCGCCUGGAACAGGAGCCUAGACAAUGGCAAUCGCCUCAGUGGUGGAUUCAUCCUCUUCUCUACUCCUGUCCAAUCAGAUGUAGAGUUGACCAUGGGUGUGAAUUUAAUGAGUGUCCUUUUUAUCAAUAAUGGUUCUUGGCUUUAGUUGGUGGAAAAAAGUAUUUUUGUUAUUUUCAUUUUAAAAUGUGUUUUUUAAUUGUAAUUUUAUUUUUUAUUUGAUUAAAUUUCUUAAGAUGUUGAUUUGUUCAAUUCUUCUAUCCAGGGUUUUAGAGGUAGAGACGAAGUAACCAAAGUUUAAAAAAUAUAUAUAUUUCUGUUAAUUCGUCAGAUUUCUUUGCAUAUGUAAUUUUUCUCAUCAAUGUCUGUCAGAGAUUUUGUCUCAUAACCACUGAUCUGUCCCAAAACUGAGACUGUAGCUUCUCUUAACCACUAUCUGUCCCGAAAACUAAACUGUAGCUUCUCUCAACCACUAUCUGUCCAAAACUGAGCUGUAGCUUCUCUUAACCACUAUCUGUCCCAAAACUGAGACUGUAGGCUUCUCUUAACCACUAUCUGUCUCCAAAACUGAAACUGUAGCUUCUCUUAACCACUAUCUGUCCAAAACUGAGACUGUAGCUUCCUUAACCACUAUCUGUCCCAAAA
Molecule: non-coding RNA, 1019 nt
Organism: Salvelinus sp. IW2-2015
Lineage: Eukaryota; Metazoa; Chordata; Actinopteri; Salmoniformes; Salmonidae
Source: RefSeq, a predicted model, not a curated record